AGCUGUUCCUAUUCGGCCAUCUUGGCUCCUCGUUCCUGCUCUUAAGGGAAAUGUUUCCAGCUUUUGCCUGUUCAGUAUGAGGUUGGCUGUGGGUUUGUCAUAAAUGGUUUUCAUUAUUUUGAGGUAUGCUCCUUCAAUGUCUGGUUCCUUGAGGACUUUAACAUGAAGGGAUGUUGGAUUUAAUAGAAAGCUUUUUCUGCAUCUAUUGAGAAGAUUACAUGGUUUUUUUCUUUUAAUACUGUUUAUGUGGUAAAUUACAUUUAUUGAUUUGCAUACAUUGAACCAAACUUACAGCCCAAGAAUGAAACCUACUUCACUAUGGCAAACUAACUUUUUGAUGAGCUGCUGAAUUCAGUUUGCUAGUAUUUUGUUGAUGAUUUUUGCAUCUAUACACAUCAGGAAUACUGGCCUGUAGUUGUCUUUUUUGUUGUGUCUUUGCCAGGUUUUGGUAUCAAGGUGAUGCUGGAUUUAUAAAAUAAACUGUGGAGAAGUCCUUCCUUGUUCAUUUUCUGGAAUAAUUUCACUGGAAUUGGCACUAGCCCUUCUUUGGACAUCUGGUAGAAUUUGGCUGUGAAUCCAUCUGGUCCAGGGCUUUUUCUUGUUGUUUGCAUGGUAGAUCUCUCUCCAACCCUUUAUUCUGAGCCUACUGGUGCUGUUACAUGUGAGAUGGGUCUCUUGAAGACAGAAGACAAGCUUUUGAAUCCUUAAUCACUGAAUGAAGAUGACUAAUAUGUCAUGGACAUUGACUGAGUGAUCUACAUGAAAUUAACCUUCUCCUGGAAUAACAUGUCAAGGUACCACAAAGCAAAAGGUGGGAGAAGAACCAAUAAUGAGUUUUGAACUGACUGAGAAUAAAGAAGCGCUGGGUUAAUUCUUGUUUUAAUAAGCUGUUGUGAAAUUUAAAAGAUUGGCACCCCCCCUCCACAAUCACACAUGCAAAGUUUUAAAAAUAUUAUUAUCCUAGUUAUCAGGAGUAGUUCUUUAUCCAUUACAAUUCAAAGUUCAGAAAGGAGAGACACAUCUUUCUUUGUACUCUUCUCAGUGUCUACCAUAGGAGGGUUUAGUCCCAGUAGAUACCCAAUUAGAAAUGCUCGCUUCCUUAUAUCACUCAUCAAUAGGGAAUGCUGGGGUUCUUCCAUUUCUAAGUCACUUUUAGAUGUUUCCUAUUAACAUAACACUGGGCGUUACUGUAAAGUACCAGUAAAAGGAUAGUGGGAAGAAAGUAAUUGUUACCUACACAUUAAUAAACUUAGGAUUGUACCUAAAAAGAUGACUCAUUAAACCAGAAAGUUUUUCUAAAUAUUGCCUAUGUUGAAGUAAGAUACAUAUACCCUAGCACCCUAGGCACCCUGCUGGUCUGUAGGAAAACAAUUUGUUUGAAGAGUGCUCUUCCCCCAGUGUUGUAGCACAGGUUUACAAGAUACCAAUCAGGGUUAAGUAGCACCAGUCAAGAAUCAAUUUUCCUGGUUUAACAUAUGCCCAAAAUGUUUACUGUCACUCUGAAUUUAUAUUCACUCUUUGGAAGUAUUUGCAAUGGAAUCUGGCACACUGAGCAACUGUAGAAAAUAUAACAGGGUUAUAAGAUGGCAAUUUUAUGGAAAUCCAGUUAUUAAAUCAGAUUUAUUAAAAGUGCACUUACAGAAAAAGAUUAUAAUGAUUAUAGAAAAAUCUUGAUCCAUUUGUGUUAAUAAUUUGUGUUAGGAAGCCUUUUAGCAAUUCAGUGAGUGGCACUAUUAUACAAAAAAAAAUUUCUAGAGUCUACAUUGAAAAAUAUGAGAACCUUCCAUAUAUUAAAAAUAAUGGAGAAUAUUCCUAUAAAAGUACAACUUUUUCACAACAAAGAGGAGAAUGUAUAUGAAGAGGUGCUUCUUCCUUCAUCUCAACAUCACCACUUCUUUGAUAUUGAUUUUUUUCACUUAAUCUCUAUAGGCUAAAAGACAAUCUGAGUUUUGUUCUCACUUUCCCUCCAAAGUAUGCAGAAAUUCACAGCUUUGAUAGUACUUUAUUGAAUUUACCUUAUCCCUACAGCUAAAUAGUCACUAUGCAUAUUUUUGUGAGCAUCCACAAAAUCACUACAACCUAGUCUACAUAAUUUGGUUGUGACUCACACAGCUUUCCCCCAGCCUGCUGAACUACCUUUCAAGAUACCAGUCUUUUCCUUUUUCUUUUUAAUAUGUAUGUUCUUCAGGCAAUGACUUUUGAAAUUUUCUAAGCUUCCUCCCAAUUCUUAGCCUUAUCAUAUCAAAGAAAAGAGUUGAGAUUUUUUUCACUGGAGGCUUUUUCAACAGAUACUUGGAAAUUUAUGAUCCCAUAAUUGAUCUGGGCUCAACUGCAUAGUGCCAAAAUCUAAUAAAUAAUAAUGCCUAAAUGUAUAUAAUAUCUCAUAGCUUACAAUGCACCUUCACAAAUAUUAUUUUAUUUGAUCAUCACAAAAUCCUCUGCAGUGGGUAGCGCAGAUAUAAUCACCGUUUUAUGUGUGUCAAGUAAAGUCAUGAUGUGAUGCAAUGGCAGAUUUGAAAAUAGAAGCCACUUCUAAAAUUUUUGUCUCCCAUCUACUUUUCCCUAAUACACUUAGCUCCUAUUAUACA
RNAcentral lists this long non-coding RNA (2588 nucleotides) under Homo sapiens (human). RNAcentral describes it as "HSALNT0086106". Lineage: Eukaryota; Metazoa; Chordata; Mammalia; Primates; Hominidae. The record is from RNAcentral.